This 159-nucleotide ribosomal RNA is filed under the name Elaphomyces sp. HB4. RNAcentral describes it as "5.8S ribosomal RNA". It matches the Rfam family "5.8S ribosomal RNA". From Rfam's summary of the family: 5.8S ribosomal RNA (5.8S rRNA) is a component of the large subunit of the eukaryotic ribosome. It is transcribed by RNA polymerase I as part of the 45S precursor that also contains 18S and 28S rRNA. The record is from RNAcentral. Lineage: Eukaryota; Fungi; Ascomycota; Eurotiomycetes; Eurotiales; Elaphomycetaceae.
AAAACUUUCAACAAUGGAUCUCUUGGUUCCGGCAUCGAUGAAGAACGCAGCGAAAUGCGAUAAGUAAUGCGAAUUGCAGAAUUCCGUGAGUCAUCGAAUCUUUGAACGCACAUUGCGCCCCCCGGCUUCCCGGGGGGCAUGCCUGUCCGAGCGUCAUUG